This 379-nucleotide ribosomal RNA is filed under the name uncultured bacterium. Its description in RNAcentral is "bacterial SSU rRNA". It matches the Rfam family "Bacterial small subunit ribosomal RNA", at positions 29 to 409 of the family's 1533-position model. The record is from RNAcentral.
AUUGAACGCUGGCGGCAUGCUUUACACAUGCAAGUCGAACGGCAGCGCGGGGGCAACCCUGGCGGCGAGUGGCGAACGGGUGAGUAAUGCAUCGGAACGUAUCCUGUAAUGGGGGAUAACGUAGCGAAAGUUACGCUAAUACCGCAUACGCUCGAGAGAGGAAAGUGGGGGAUCGCAAGACCUCACGUUAUAGGAGCGGCCGAUGUCCGAUUAGCUAGUUGGUGGGGUAAAGGCCUACCAAGGCGACGAUCGGUAGCUGGUCUGAGAGGAUGAUCAGCCACACUGGGACUGAGACACGGCCCAGACUCCUACGGGAGGCAGCAGUGGGGAAUUUUGGACAAUGGGCGAAAGCCUGAUCCAGCCAUGCCGCGUGCGGGAA